This 465-nucleotide ribosomal RNA is filed under the name uncultured bacterium. RNAcentral's name for it is "bacterial SSU rRNA". It matches the Rfam family "Bacterial small subunit ribosomal RNA", at positions 329 to 792 of the family's 1533-position model. The record is from RNAcentral.
UUCCAGACUCCUACGGGAGGCAGCAGUGAGGAAUAUUGGUCAAUGGUCGGGAGACUGAACCAGCCAAGCCGCGUGAGGGAGGAAGGUACAGAGUAUCGUAAACCUCUUUUGUCAGGGAACAAAGACUGGGACGCGUCCCCGGAUGAGUGUACCUGAAGAAAAAGCAUCGGCUAACUCCGUGCCAGCAGCCGCGGUAAUACGGAGGAUGCGAGCGUUAUCCGGAUUUAUUGGGUUUAAAGGGUGCGUAGGCGGAGUGUCAAGUCAGCGGUAAAAUUUCGGGGCUCAACCCCGUCGUGCCGUUGAAACUGACGCCCUUGAGUGAGUGAGAAGUAAGCGGAAUGCGUGGUGUAGCGGUGAAAUGCAUAGAUAUCACGCAGAACUCCGAUUGCGAAGGCAGCAUACCGGCGCUCAACUGACGCUCAUGCACGAAAGCGUGGGUAUCGAACAGGAUUAGAUACCCCGGUA